RNAcentral lists this ribosomal RNA (468 nucleotides) under uncultured bacterium. RNAcentral's name for it is "partial 16S ribosomal RNA". It matches the Rfam family "Bacterial small subunit ribosomal RNA", at positions 28 to 507 of the family's 1533-position model. The record is from RNAcentral.
GACGAACGCUGGCGGCGUGCUUAACACAUGCAAGUCGAACGGAAAGGCCCUGCUUUUGUGGGGUGCUCGAUUGGCGAACGGGGGAGUAACACGUGAGUAACCUGCCCUUGACUUUGGGAUAACUUCAGGAAACUGGGGCUCAUACCGGAUAGGAGCUCUUGCUGCAUGUUGGGGGUUGGAAAGUUUCGGCGGUUGGGGAUGGACUCGCGGCUUAUGAGCUUGUUGGUGAGGUAGUGGCUUACCAAGGCUUUGACGGGUAGCCGGCAUGAGAGGGUGACCGGGCACAUUGGGACUGAGAUACGGCGCAGACUCCUACGGGAGGCAGCAGUGGGGAAUCUUGCGCAAUGACCGGAAGCCAGAUGCAGAAACGCCGCGUGCGGGAUGCCGGCCUUCGGGUUGUAAACCGCUUUCGACUGUGACGAAGCGUGAGUGACGGUAAUGGGUAAAGAAGCCCCGGCUAACUACGUG